CCCUUAGAUGUUCUGGGCCGCACGCGCGCUACACUGAUGCAUUCAACGAGUCCAACCUUGACCGAGAGGUCCGGGUAAUCUUUGAAACGGCAUCGUGAUGGGGCUAGAUUAUUGCAAUUAUUAAUCUUCAACGAGGAAUGCCUAGUAAGCGUGAUUCAUCAAAUCGCGUUGAUUACGUCCCUGCCCUUUGUACACACCGCCCGUCGCUCCUACCGAUUGAGUGUGUUGGUGAGGAGUUUGGAUUGGCCUCGGAAGGUGGUUCGCCACCGUCCGUAGCUGAGAAGUUCUCCAAACCGCCCCACUUAGAGGAAGGAGAAGUCGUAACA
RNAcentral lists this ribosomal RNA (326 nucleotides) under uncultured eukaryote. Its description in RNAcentral is "partial 18S ribosomal RNA". It matches the Rfam family "Eukaryotic small subunit ribosomal RNA", at positions 1470 to 1796 of the family's 1831-position model. The record is from RNAcentral.